This 445-nucleotide long non-coding RNA is filed under the name Helianthus annuus (common sunflower). Its description in RNAcentral is "hypothetical non coding rna". Lineage: Eukaryota; Viridiplantae; Streptophyta; Magnoliopsida; Asterales; Asteraceae. The record is from RNAcentral.
CUCCACCACAUCGAGACAAACCGAAUCAUCACCGUUCUGUUCACCAACCCUAAACAAUACCUGCCACGUCAGCAGGUGCGGUAGGACCGAGGACGGCGGCGGUAGCAGCGCGUGGCGGAGUAAAAACUCGCGUACGGUGGUUCUGAAGGGUUUACCGGCGGCGUGUUCGGCGGAAGGGAAGGUGAGAAAGUCGUUGAGAUCGGCGGUUACUCUCCUUUUCAUGUUUUUGAAUGGCCGGGGAUUUGUGAAAUGAUUGAAUGGUGAGAUUUGGAUGGAGUGGAGUCGGUUUCGGAUGUGGAGAGAGAGAGAGAGUGAGUCAAAAGGAUAUUUUCGAGGGGUUGGUUUGGAAUCUAUCUGUUUUGACAAUUUCUGGUGACUAAUUAAUGAUUGUGUUUAACAUUUAAUGUAUCACAUCAAUAUUUUAUAAUUAUUUUAUGUUUUGUGU